RNAcentral lists this unclassified non-coding RNA (146 nucleotides) under soil metagenome. Its description in RNAcentral is "partial internal transcribed spacer 1". The record is from RNAcentral.
CUGAGUUGCAAAACUCCCACCAUUGUGAACCUACCUAGACUGUUGCUUCGGCGGGGGGCACUGCCCUGCUUUCCCUAGGAAGCACCCGCCGGAGGCAUUUAAACUCUGUAUUAUUGGCCUCUCUGAGUAACUUAUUUAAUAAGUCA